This 483-nucleotide ribosomal RNA is filed under the name uncultured bacterium. Its description in RNAcentral is "partial 16S ribosomal RNA". It matches the Rfam family "Bacterial small subunit ribosomal RNA", at positions 355 to 831 of the family's 1533-position model. The record is from RNAcentral.
UAGGGAAUCUUCCACAAUGGACGCAAGUCUGAUGGAGCAACGCCGCGUGAGUGAAGAAGGUCUUCGGAUCGUAAAGCUCUGUUGUUGGUGAAGAAGGAUAGAGGCAGUAACUGGUCUUUAUUUGACGGUAAUCAACCAGAAAGUCACGGCUAACUACGUGCCAGCAGCCGCGGUAAUACGUAGGUGGCAAGCGUUGUCCGGAUUUAUUGGGCGUAAAGCGAGCGCAGGCGGAAUGAUAAGUCUGAUGUGAAAGCCCACGGCUCACCGUGGAACUGCAUCGGAAACUGUCAUUCUUGAGUGCAGAAGAGGAGAGUGGAACUCCAUGUGUAGCGGUGGAAUGCGUAGAUAUAUGGAAGAACACCAGUGGCGAAGGCGGCUCUCUGGUCUGCAACUGACGCUGAGGCUCGAAAGCAUGGGUAGCGAACAGGAUUAGAUACCCUGGUAGUCCAUGCCGUAAACGAUGAGCGCUAGGUGUUGGGGCAC